Long non-coding RNA from Tetranychus urticae (two-spotted spider mite), 2290 nucleotides. RefSeq lists it as uncharacterized. Lineage: Eukaryota; Metazoa; Arthropoda; Arachnida; Trombidiformes; Tetranychidae. The record is from RefSeq and is a predicted model, not a curated record.
UACAUUAAAGAUGACAUUUCUUUUGUUAAAAUUUGAAGUGAUUUAAUUUAGAUUGUUUUAAAAUCGUAUCAUUUAUGGUUAAUUAUCCUGAUGAUCACCCAUGUGAAAUGGUUAAAAACAAUGCUUAUCUCAUAAUAGUUAAUGAAAAACUUGAUAUACAAUGUACAUUAAUUUAUACCAAGUGAAAGCCAAGUUGACUUGUUUUAUAAAGAUUAUUCAUCAACAUGGUCUUCACCAAGAAUGCUUUCAAUCUGUGAUAAAUUAUCCAAUUUUUUAAGUUAUGCUUCUCGGAACAACGAUUGAACUUUAAUGCAACAAUAUUUGCCUCCAAAUGAUUACAAUCAAUCAGUCAUUUUACCAUCACCAUCUCUGUUGGACUCCAUCAACUUUCACUUAUAGAUCGGACCUUAAAAACAUUGUUAAAGUUGACUUGGAGAGAUACAUAAACAAGUAAAAUGUUGAUCAGCUUCCCAUGGAUAAAUGAUUGAAAAGGAAAAUAAAUCAGUUGAUGAUUAUCAUCGAUUAAUUGUGACCAUUUCCAGUGUAUAAAAUUAAUGGUCAACUCUUGAAAUACAAUUUAAUGUUUGCCCUUUUUGUUUUGGCUUCAGCGUUUGGCUUCAUUUGCACCAUUUUUGUUGAACCACAAAAAGGCUCAAACCUUGGUUUCCAAUUAUAUAUCUUUUCAGAGAAGGACAACUGAAUCAAUCUUUUCAGUUUCUUCUUCUUCUUCGCUGGCCUGCUUCUUAAGGAAACCCCGUAAGCUGUAUCAAUAUUGUUUACAAAAGGCUUGAUUUUGGUUCACAAUGGCAAGAAGCUUUAUCAAAAUUGAAUGGGCUCAACACGCGUUUGAUAAUAGCAAGAAUAUUAUUUUACUCCAUCUUUAUUGUUACCCUUACUAUUUGUGCUGUUGUUGGUAAUAUUAUUCUGGAUAUUUCAUCUUCAUCUCUGCAUCUUCAUCUAAAAUGGUCAACACCUCAUCUUUAUUCACAGUCUUUCACUUCCCACAACUAUGAUUAUCUUUCAUAAUUUUAAUGGUAAAGGAUCGCUGAUGUUUCAUGGCAUUGGAUACAAUUGUAGAGCAACAAAGCGACUCUGAUUCCAGGUUGAAAUGAACUUUAAAAGAAUCAAAGAUAACUUGGAAAAGCAACAACUGAAACAAGGAAAUGGCAAGAUCAUAAAAAUGGCAACAAAAAUGGUUCUACUGGUUAUUACAAGGAUUCAAACGUGAGAUUUGUCCAGUAUCAUUGGAGUGAUAGUAAUAACAAUAACCAUUUUGCAGUUAACAGAAAAAUGGCUUAAAAGUUAACAGUAAAUGAUUUGAUUAAAAAAAGAUGAAAUUGUAAUGGAAGCAAAACUGCUCAAGGCAAGGCUAUAAACAAAAAGGUGGCUUCACUUUUGUCUGGUAUAAGUAUUGCUGAAUCCAAUAUCACAAGUGGGUUAAACGAAAACCAGGGGAAUAUAAAGGAAAUGAGAGUCAACUUCCGUUGAUUUGGAUACAGUUGAUCAAAUCUGAUUGUCUCCAAAUAAACUUGGCCCUUUGUAUUGUCAUCAAAAAUUUGGCCAACGACUAAAUAGUCAUAAAAAUAGUGCGAUUCGUCAUCAAGCUCAUCUUCAAGAUCAAUCGUGCAUUCUUUCACCAUCUACAUCAUCACAUUAUCAUCAGUAUCCUCCAACAUCAUCUCCAUGUCAAUGUCAUCAAAAACAUCAACAUAAUCAUCUUUUUUCUUUUUCUUCUUCCCCUGCUUUUCAUGUUUUCACCAAACCCAUUGGAAUAGAGCCUUUUCCAUGUUGAUCUUGUUUUGACUUUUUUCAGAUUGUCAGCUUAUCCCCCCGAUCAUCCUCUUUGCCUAAUUUCCGUUUCAUCUUUCAUCAUCUUUCUCUUCUUAAAUUAUCUUCUUUUUCUUCCGUCUCAUGCCAUUAUCAUCAUGACAAUUCUUGUGACAAACAUUGUCAUAACUUCUUUUCAACCAAUAUCCGUGUAAAUUUCAUGUUCACCAACAUGUAAACGCAUUUUGUUUCAACUUGAUUACCAAACAAAUCUGAGCUUUUUGUUUCACUCUACAUUAUAAUCUAAUAAUAAGUUAACAAUGUUAAUUGAAGACUACAUUCAACAAUUAAACAUGGAUGAGAAUGGAAAUGCCAGAAUCUAAUCCCAAAGUAAAAAAGCCCCAAAACAAUCAACUAAUUGUGUUUUUCAUCACAUUUAGAUUUUGGCAAUUAAUGACUUUUCUUGCCCUUCUCGUAACCUUUUAUUUUUGUUUGACCCACGAUAAACAAUCUAAUUGAUUGA